UACGAAGGGGGCUAGCGUUGCUCGGAAUUACUGGGCGUAAAGCGCACGUAGGCGGCUUUCUAAGUCGGGGGUGAAAUCCUGGAGCUCAACUCCAGAACUGCCUUCGAUACUGGAGAACUCGAGUCCGGGAGAGGUGAGUGGAACUGCGAGUGUAGAGGUGAAAUUCGUAGAUAUUCGCAAGAACACCAGUGGCGAAGGCGGCUCACUGGCCCGGUACUGACGCUGAGGUGCGAAAGCGUGGGGAGCAAACAGG
This 253-nucleotide ribosomal RNA is filed under the name uncultured bacterium. RNAcentral describes it as "partial 16S ribosomal RNA". It matches the Rfam family "Bacterial small subunit ribosomal RNA", at positions 524 to 776 of the family's 1533-position model. The record is from RNAcentral.